CAAUAGCGUAUAUUAAAGUUGUUGCAGUUAAAAAGCUCGUAGUUGAAUUUCUGUCUAGAGGCUCCCGUUCUGCAUUGCAGAUAACGUGGAAACUUUUGACAUUUCUCCGAUGUGUCUUACUGCACUUCGUUGUGUGGUUUGAACUUCGGAACUUUUACUUUGAGAAAAUUAGAGUGUUUCAAGCAAGCUUGUGCCUUGAAUACUGCAGCAUGGAAUAAUAUUAUAAGACUCAUGUCUUAUUUGUUGGUUCGUGAGACUGAGUAAUGAUUGAUAGGGACAGUUUGGGGCAUUCGUAUUUAACUGUCAGAGGUGAAAUUCUUGGAUUUGUUAAAGACGAACUACUGCGAAAGCAUUUGCCAGGGAUGUUUNCAUUA
This 374-nucleotide ribosomal RNA is filed under the name uncultured eukaryote. Its description in RNAcentral is "partial 18S ribosomal RNA". It matches the Rfam family "Eukaryotic small subunit ribosomal RNA", at positions 592 to 975 of the family's 1831-position model. The record is from RNAcentral.